UAGGGAAUCUUCCGCAAUGGACGCAAGUCUGACGGAGCAACGCCGCGUGAGUGAAGAAGGAUUUAGGUUCGUAAAACUCUGUUGUUAGAGAAGAACAGCGCAUAGAGUAACUGUUAUGCGUGUGACGGCAUCUAACCAGAAAGCCACGGCUAACUACGUGCCAGCAGCCGCGGUAAUACGUAGGUGGCAAGCGUUGUCCGGAUUUAUUGGGCGUAAAGCGAGCGCAGGCGGUCCAUUAAGCCUGAUGUGAAAGCCCCCGGCUCAACCGGGGAGGGUCAUUAGCAACUGGUUUACUUGAGUGCAGAAGAGGAGAGUGGAAUUCCAUGUGUAGCGGUGAAAUGCGUAGAUAUAUGGAGGAACACCAGUGGCGAAGGCGACUCUCUGGUCUGUAACUGACGCUGAGGUUCGAAAGCGUGGGUAGCAAACAGG
Molecule: ribosomal RNA, 429 nt
Filed under: Bacteroidota bacterium
Lineage: Bacteria; Pseudomonadati; Bacteroidota
Description: Bacteroidetes bacterium partial 16S ribosomal RNA
Rfam family: Bacterial small subunit ribosomal RNA
Source: RNAcentral